GGAGAGGUCGCAUAGUGGUCUAGUGCAGCGGUUUGCUAAACCGCGUCCCCGAAAGGGGACUCGUGGGUUCGAAUCCCACCCUCUCCGCCA
RNAcentral lists this transfer RNA (90 nucleotides) under Candidatus Doudnaibacteriota bacterium. RNAcentral's name for it is "Candidatus Doudnabacteria bacterium tRNA-Ser". It matches the Rfam family "tRNA". Rfam says of the family: Transfer RNA (tRNA) molecules are approximately 80 nucleotides in length. Lineage: Bacteria; Candidatus Doudnaibacteriota. The record is from RNAcentral.